UCCGGAGAGGGAGCCUGAGAAAUAGCUACCACAUCCAAGGAAGGCAGCAGGCGCGCAAAUUACCCACUCCCGAAACGGGGAGGUAGUGACGAUAAAUAACGAUGCGGGACUCAAUCGAGGCCCCGUAAUUGGAAUGAGUACACUUUAAAUCCUUUAACGAGGAUCAAUUGGAGGGCAAGUCUGGUGCCAGCAGCCGCGGUAAUUCCAGCUCCAAUAGCGUAUAUUAAAGUUGUUGCAGUUAAAAAGCUCGUAGUUGGAUCUCAGGAUUUGGAUGGAUGGUUCGCUUUCGGGCGCUACUAUCUGUCUGACCUACUCUAGUCGUGGAUGCCUUGGGUGCUCUUAAUUGAGUGCUUUUGGUGCCCGACGCAAUUACUUUGAAAAAAUUAGAGUGCUCAAAGCAGGCGUAUUGCCUGAAUAGUGUUGCAUGGAAUAAUGAAAUAGGAGUUUACUUCUAUUUUGUUGGUUUUCGGAGGUGAACUAAUGAUUAACAGGGACAGACGGGGGCAUUUGUAUGGAGGGGUUAGAGGUGAAAUUCUUGGAUCCUCUCCAGACAAACUACUGCGAAAGCAUUUGCCAGGAAUGUUUUCACUAAUCAAGAACGAAAGUCAGAGGUUCGAAGACGAUCAGAUACCGUCCUAGUUCUGACCAUAAAUGAUGCCAUCUAACAAUCCACGAAGUUUGCUUGUACGAACUCGUGGGCGGUCCCCGGGAAACCAAAGAUUUUGGGUUCCGGGGGAAGUAUGGUUGCAAAGCUGAAACUUAAAGGAAUUGACGGAAGGGCACCACCAGGAGUGGAGCCUGCGGCUUAAUUUGACCCAACACGGGAAACCUCACCCGGCCCGGACACUUUUAGGAUUGACAGAUUGAAGGCUCUUUCUUGAUCAAGUGGUUGGUGGUGCACGGCCGUUCUUAGUUGGUGGAGCGAUUUGUCUGGUUAAUUCCGAUAACGAACGAGACUCUACUCUGCUAAAUAGAACGUUGAUAUAUAAAAGUCAGUGCUGACUUCUUAGAGAGACUAACGGCGUUUAGCCGUGUGAGAAAGAGCAAUAACAGGUCUGUGAUGCCCUUAGAUGUCCGGGGCCGCACGCGCGCUACACUGACUGCAGCAACUAGUAUGCUCCUGGUUUGAAAAAACUGGGUAACCUGGUUGAAUUGCAGGCGUGACAGGGAUCAGAGUUUGCAAUUAUCCUCUGUGAACGAGGAAUUCCCAGUAAGCGCAAGUCAUUAGCUUGUGCUGAUUACGUCCCUGCCCUUUGUACACACCGCCCGUCGCUACUACCGAUUGAAUGGUUUAGUGAGGUCUUCGGAUUGGUGCUGAUGGAGUGGUUCUCUGCUCUGUUAGUGCCGAGAAGAUGAUCAAACUUGAUCAUUUAGGGGAAGUAAAAGUCGUAACAAGGUU
This 1399-nucleotide ribosomal RNA is filed under the name metagenome. RNAcentral's name for it is "SSU rRNA". It matches the Rfam family "Eukaryotic small subunit ribosomal RNA", at positions 382 to 1801 of the family's 1831-position model. The record is from RNAcentral.